Dromiciops gliroides (monito del monte) is the source of this 687-nucleotide long non-coding RNA. RefSeq lists it as uncharacterized. NCBI's taxonomy places the organism in Eukaryota, Metazoa, Chordata, Mammalia, Microbiotheria, Microbiotheriidae. The record is from RefSeq and is a predicted model, not a curated record. The transcript has 3 exons.
AGAAUGGAGCAGAAGAGGAGGAAGAGGAGACUGCAGAGGAUGGAGAAGAUGAUGAUGAGGGUGAGGAGGAAGAUGAGGAAGAGGAGGAAGAUGAUGACGAAGGGCCUGCACUGAAGAGAGCUGCUGAGGAUGAGGAUGAAGCCGAUCCCAAAAGGCAGAAGACAGAAAAUGGGGCAUCGGUGUGAGCCUCAGCCAUCUGGGCUGAGGGUGGGGAGGACCCCAUGGGGCCUGGAAGUGAGAUGGGGAGGGAUAAGUGCAGCGGCCUUUCACCUGGCUCCCUGCUCUGGAUUCCUCCCCAGAGCUGUCCCCCUCCUAUUCUCCCCAGCCUUCUUACUGUUCCCUCUCCAGAUAUCCCAGUUUUUACCUCUCCAUUCCUUCACCUCUUGAACUUUCCCUAUCCCUGAGCUCCCCAGCUGAUCCCCAGACUACUCUUCUUUUCCAUAUCCUCAUAUCUCCUCCCAUCCCCCAGUUGAUUCUUCAAAAUCCAUUUCUGCCCCUUUCCAUAUUCUGAGAUUUCCCCUUCUGCCUUCUCUCCCACUCUCCCUGCCUGAUCCCUGGAUCUCCCUCAGAUUCCCCACCCCCUUACAGCACCAGGCUGGGGUUGGGGCUGAGCCCCACAGCUGCCCCCUCUCCCCUUUAUCCUUUUUGUAUAAUUUAAUAAAGAAAUGGUCGCGCUUCUGUUUUUAA